UAUUUUGAUUUAAAAAUUGUU
Molecule: non-coding RNA, 21 nt
Filed under: Caenorhabditis elegans
Lineage: Eukaryota; Metazoa; Nematoda; Chromadorea; Rhabditida; Rhabditidae
Source: RNAcentral